UACGUAGGGGGCAAGCGUUGUCCGGAUUUAUUGGGCGUAAAGAGCGUGUAGGCGGCCAUACAGGUCAGCUGUGAAAACUCGAGGCUCAACCUCGAGACGUCGGUUGAAACCGUAUGGCUAGAGUCCGGAAGAGGAGAGUGGAAUUCCCGGUGUAGCGGUGAAAUGCGCAGAUAUCGAGAAGAACACCCGUGGCGAAGGCGGCUCUCUGGGACGGUACUGACGCUGAGAUGCGAAAGCGUGGGGAGCGAACAGG
This 253-nucleotide ribosomal RNA is filed under the name uncultured bacterium. Its description in RNAcentral is "partial 16S ribosomal RNA". It matches the Rfam family "Bacterial small subunit ribosomal RNA", at positions 524 to 776 of the family's 1533-position model. The record is from RNAcentral.